Regulatory RNA element from Lachnospiraceae bacterium 3_1_57FAA_CT1, 116 nucleotides. It matches the Rfam family "FMN riboswitch aptamer (RFN element)". Rfam says of the family: The RFN element is a highly conserved domain that is found frequently in the 5'-untranslated regions of prokaryotic mRNAs that encode for flavin mononucleotide (FMN) biosynthesis and transport proteins. This element is a metabolite-dependent riboswitch that directly binds FMN in the absence of proteins. The record is from Rfam. Lineage: Bacteria; Bacillati; Bacillota; Clostridia; Lachnospirales; Lachnospiraceae.
UAAUGUCUUCAGGGCAGGGUGAAAUCCCCGAUCGGCGGUAAAGUCCGCGAGCGUGAAACGCAGGAUUUGGUGAAAGUCCAAAACCGACAGUAUAGUCUGGAUUGAAGAAGGUGUGU